RNAcentral lists this ribosomal RNA (544 nucleotides) under uncultured bacterium. Its description in RNAcentral is "bacterial SSU rRNA". It matches the Rfam family "Bacterial small subunit ribosomal RNA", at positions 52 to 586 of the family's 1533-position model. The record is from RNAcentral.
CACAUGCAAGUCGAGGGGCAGCAUGAACUUAGCUUGCUAAGUUUGAUGGCGACCGGCGCACGGGUGAGUAACACGUAUCCAACCUGCCGAUGACUCGGGGAUAGCCUUUCGAAAGAAAGAUUAAUACCCGAUGGCAUAGUUCUUCCGCAUGGUGGAACUAUUAAAGAAUUUCGGUCAUCGAUGGGGAUGCGUUCCAUUAGGUUGUUGGCGGGGUAACGGCCCACCAAGCCUUCGAUGGAUAGGGGUUCUGAGAGGAAGGUCCCCCACAUUGGAACUGAGACACGGUCCAAACUCCUACGGGAGGCAGCAGUGAGGAAUAUUGGUCAAUGGACGAGAGUCUGAACCAGCCAAGUAGCGUGAAGGAUGACUGCCCUAUGGGUUGUAAACUUCUUUUAUACGGGAAUAAAGUGAGGCACGUGUGCCUUUUUGUAUGUACCGUAUGAAUAAGGAUCGGCUAACUCCGUGCCAGCAGCCGCGGUAAUACGGAGGAUCCGAGCGUUAUCCGGAUUUAUUGGGUUUAAAGGGAGCGUAGGCGGACGCUUAA